RNAcentral lists this ribosomal RNA (557 nucleotides) under Bodianus speciosus (blackbar hogfish). RNAcentral's name for it is "partial 16S ribosomal RNA". It matches the Rfam family "Bacterial large subunit ribosomal RNA", at positions 1843 to 2597 of the family's 2925-position model. The record is from RNAcentral. Lineage: Eukaryota; Metazoa; Chordata; Actinopteri; Labriformes; Labridae.
GAAUAAGAGGUCCCGCCUGCCCUGUGACUAUAUGUUUAACGGCCGCGGUAUUUUGACCGUGCGAAGGUAGCGCAAUCACUUGUCUUUUAAAUGGAGACCUGUAUGAAUGGCAUAACGAGGGCUCAACUGUCUCCUUUUUCCGGUCAAUGAAAUUGAUCUCCCCGUGCAGAAGCGGGGAUACAGACAUAAGACGAGAAGACCCUAUGGAGCUUUAGACACCAAGGCAGAUUAUGUUAAGAAUACCUGACAAGGGGUCAAACAAAAUAACCCCUGCCCUAAUGUCUUUGGUUGGGGCGACCGCGGGGAAACAUAUAACCCCCAUGUGGAAUGGGAAUACCCCUCCUAUAACCAAGAGCUCCCGCUCUAAGUGCCAGAAUUUCUGACCAACCAGAUCCGGCUUUCACGCCGAUCAACGAACCGAGUUACCCUAGGGAUAACAGCGCAAUCCCCUUUUAGAGUCCAUAUCGACAAGGGGGUUUACGACCUCGAUGUUGGAUCAGGACAUCCUAAUGGUGCAGCCGCUAUUAAGGGUUCGUUUGUUCAACGAUUAAAGUCCU